UACGUAGGUGGCAAGCGUUGUCCGGAUUUAUUGGGUUUAAAGGGUGCGUAGGCGGUUUGUCGCGUCUGCUGUGAAAACCCGAGGCUCAACCUCGGGCCUGCAGUGGGUACGGGCAGACUAGAGUGCGGUAGGGGAGAUUGGAAUUCCUGGUGUAGCGGUGGAAUGCGCAGAUAUCAGGAGGAACACCGAUGGCGAAGGCAGAUCUCUGGGCCGUAACUGACGCUGAGGAGCGAAAAGCAUGGGGAGCGAACAGG
RNAcentral lists this ribosomal RNA (254 nucleotides) under uncultured bacterium. RNAcentral's name for it is "partial 16S ribosomal RNA". It matches the Rfam family "Bacterial small subunit ribosomal RNA", at positions 524 to 776 of the family's 1533-position model. The record is from RNAcentral.